AAGGAGCACCACGAGAAUCAGGCCCGCCCACAUCGUGUGGGGGUUCGGUGAUCUGAUCGAUUCGUGAAGAUGGCCUGGUCUCUGUAGUGGAGUCAGGUCUGGUGCAACAACAAACAUUAAGUGCUGCAACGGGAUUCCGGUUUUCCGGGGUUGUGGUGCGAAGUCAUCAGACACACUAUUGGGCUUUGAGACAACAGGCCUGUGCCCCUUUUUUUGGGGGUGGCUCCGCGUUGGCGGGGUCGGUGUGUUGUUGCCCUGCUUUGGUGGUGGGGUGUGGUGUUUGAUUUGUGGAUAGUGGUUGCGAGCAUCGAAAGAUGGUGCACAGGCUUUCGGGUGUGUGUGCUUCUUUUUAUGUAAUGCAAAUUUUUCUGAUACCCGCAUGCUCCCGGAAGGGUGUGUGUGGGUGACUCAUUUUUUGGUUUUGUGUUGUAAGUGUUUAAGGGCGCAUGGUG
Molecule: unclassified non-coding RNA, 452 nt
Filed under: Mycobacterium sp. PYR GCK
Lineage: Bacteria; Bacillati; Actinomycetota; Actinomycetes; Mycobacteriales; Mycobacteriaceae
Description: 16S-23S ribosomal RNA intergenic spacer
Source: RNAcentral